Molecule: transfer RNA, 82 nt
Filed under: Lentinus tigrinus ALCF2SS1-7
Lineage: Eukaryota; Fungi; Basidiomycota; Agaricomycetes; Polyporales; Polyporaceae
Also listed under: 1 other name
Description: tRNA-Ala
Rfam family: tRNA
About the family: Transfer RNA (tRNA) molecules are approximately 80 nucleotides in length. Their secondary structure includes four short double-helical elements and three loops (D, anti-codon, and T loops).
Source: RNAcentral
GGGCAUGUGGUGUAGUUGGUUAUCACGCUCGCUUAGCAACCGCACAUGCGAGAGGGGUCCGGUUCAAUCCCGGACAUGUCCA